UGGGGAAUAUUGCACAAUGGAGGGAACUCUGAUGCAGCGACGCCGCGUGAACGAAGAAGGCUUUCGAGUCGUAAAGUUCUUUUAUAUGGGAAGAUAAUGACGGUACCAUAAGAAAAAGCCCCGGCUAACUACGUGCCAGCAGCCGCGGUAAUACGUAGGGGGCUAGCGUUGUCCGGAAUCACUGGGCGUAAAGGGUUCGCAGGCGGAAAUGCAAGUCAGGUGUAAAAGGCAGUAGCUUAACUACUGUAAGCAUUUGAAACUGCAUAUCUUGAGAAGAGUAGAGGUAAGUGGAAUUCCUAGUGUAGCGGUGAAAUGCGUAGAUAUUAGGAGGAAUACCGGUGGCGAAGGCGACUUACUGGGCUCAUUCUGACGCUGAGGAACGAAAGCGUGGGUAGCAAACAGG
Molecule: ribosomal RNA, 403 nt
Filed under: Verrucomicrobiota bacterium
Lineage: Bacteria; Pseudomonadati; Verrucomicrobiota
Description: Verrucomicrobia bacterium partial 16S ribosomal RNA
Rfam family: Bacterial small subunit ribosomal RNA
Source: RNAcentral